CCUACGGGAGGCAGCAGUAGGGAAUCUUUCACAAUGGGCGAAAGCCUGAUGGAGCAACGCCGCGUGCAGGAUGAAGGCCUUCGGGUUGUAAACUGCUGUUAUAAGAGAGAAAUAUGAUGGUAACUUAUGAAUAAGGAUCGGCUAACUACGUGCCAGCAGCCGCGGUCAUACGUAGGAUACGAGCAUUAUCCGGAGUGACUGGGUGUAAAGAGUUGCGUAGGUGGCAUAAUAAGUAGCUAGUGAAAUCUGGUGGCUCAACCAUUCAGACUAUUAGCUAAACUGUUAAGCUCGAGACCGUUAGGGGUAACUGGAAUUUCUAGUGUAGGAGUGAAAUCCGUAGAUAUUAGAAGGAACACCAAUAGCGUAGGCAGGUUGCUGGGACGGUUCUGACACUAAGGCACGAAAGCGUAGGGAGCAAACGGGAUUAGAUACCCCUGUAGUC
Molecule: ribosomal RNA, 442 nt
Filed under: uncultured bacterium
Lineage: Bacteria
Description: partial 16S ribosomal RNA
Rfam family: Bacterial small subunit ribosomal RNA
Source: RNAcentral